CUCCCUCUCGCCUUACCUCCCUGUCUUGCCCAUGAGCUCAGAUCGCUCUGGAUGACUUCGCAACCAUGAAGGGAAAACACAGUCUCUUCUUUAAGUCUCAGGUGUCACCUGCGCUGCUAAACCUUCCAUCCUGGCCCCUGACAUACUGCGUUCCCGUCUCACAGCACCCUAUAAAACAGUGAUGAUCAUGUGGAUGAUGAACUGGUCUGGAAACGGCAGCUGCUCUCCAUGUGCUGCGGGUCCAAGGGGACUGGGGAGCUCCUCUGUCUCAGGUCACAAGGAACCUACACUAGGGAGUCUGCAUCUGCUGUUUCCAGGAUUCAACUCACCUGCGCGGAGUGACUUUGCAGCCGGACACCUUUUGAGAGGAGGACACUUUAGUCAAAAGAUCCAUGAUGCUGGAACCACUCUGCCCGUCCACGGGGGCAGGGGGCCUGGUGAGAAGCCUGUAAAGAUCCAGCUACAAUCAGACAGCUGCCCACAGAGGCUGGGUUCACAAUCACAGCGCAUCGAUUUCCAAAGUGAUGCUCAAACCGAGGGGGUUU
Suricata suricatta (meerkat) is the source of this 545-nucleotide long non-coding RNA. RefSeq lists it as uncharacterized. NCBI's taxonomy places the organism in Eukaryota, Metazoa, Chordata, Mammalia, Carnivora, Herpestidae. The transcript is spliced from 4 exons. The record is from RefSeq and is a predicted model, not a curated record.